AACGUAGGAGACAAACGUUAUCCGGAGUUACUGGGCGUAAAGGGCGUGUAGGUGGUCUCGUAAGUCUGGCGUGAAAUUUCUCGGCUUAACCGAGGCAGGUCGUCGGAUACUGCGAGGCUAGAGGACGGUAGAGGCGUGUGGAAUUCCUGGUGUAGCGGUGAAAUGCGCAGAUAUCAGGAGGAACACCGAUGGCGAAGGCAGGUCUCUGGGCAUUAACUGACGCUGAGGAGCGAAAGCAUGGGGAGCGAACAGG
This 253-nucleotide ribosomal RNA is filed under the name uncultured bacterium. RNAcentral's name for it is "partial 16S ribosomal RNA". It matches the Rfam family "Bacterial small subunit ribosomal RNA", at positions 524 to 776 of the family's 1533-position model. The record is from RNAcentral.